ACAGUCACCAUCUCCUUCAGGACCUGUGGUGGAAAAGUCCAGUUUGUCAGCCUGUGGGCCUGUAAUGAGGAGAGAGUGGAAUGGGAACCAAUAGUCAAGACCAGCCAGACAAGUUUUGGCUGUCUUUUUAUCCUGUUGGAAAACCCUUGCAAGACCAGGCAGAAGCAGGAUGGACUGGGUACUAUUGUCAAAAACAGCCUUCGGGAAUCCAGAGAUUGUGGGAGAUUGCUCAUGUGCUUUUUCUUUCAGGGCCAGCAAAUGUCCUCAGAGGUUACUGGGCAUCUCUCUAGAAACCAACCUCUUUAAUUCUCCUAUGAUGCCAGGAGGAAGCCGGCCAUUCAGACUUUGCCUUCUGUGAGCCGCGUGCUUUUCUGGCGAGCCGGACGCCUCACAUCGAAGCUGAUGUGGCUCAGCACCGAGUUCGGGCUGGACGGUACUUGUUAACCGGCAG
Long non-coding RNA from Diceros bicornis minor, 451 nucleotides. RefSeq lists it as uncharacterized. The transcript has 3 exons. The record is from RefSeq and is a predicted model, not a curated record. NCBI's taxonomy places the organism in Eukaryota, Metazoa, Chordata, Mammalia, Perissodactyla, Rhinocerotidae.